This 885-nucleotide ribosomal RNA is filed under the name Jimgerdemannia flammicorona. Its description in RNAcentral is "partial 28S ribosomal RNA". It matches the Rfam family "Eukaryotic large subunit ribosomal RNA", at positions 1 to 738 of the family's 3401-position model. Lineage: Eukaryota; Fungi; Mucoromycota; Endogonomycetes; Endogonales; Endogonaceae. The record is from RNAcentral.
CAAUAAUAUGGAAAAUUUGAAGAAAUAUAGUUUUUUCAACCAUUGUUUAGAUCUGAAAUCAGGUGGGACUACCCGCUGAACUUAAGCAUAUCAAUAAGCGGAGGAAAAGAAACUAACAAGGAUUCCCCUAGUAACGGCGAGUGAAGCGGGAAAAGCUCAAAUUUAAAAUCUGGCAGGUUAUCCUGUCCGAGUUGUAGUUUCAAGAAGCGUUUUCGGUGCGCGUCUGGGUAUAAGUUCUUUGGAACAGGACAUCAUAGAGGGUGAGAAUCCCGUUUAUGACCCGGAACAGCGUACUAUGUGAUACGUUUUCUAAGAGUCAGGUUGUUUGGGAAUGCAGCCUAAAAUGGGUGGUAAAUUUCAUCUAAAGCUAAAUAUUGGCGAGAGACCGAUAGCGAACAAGUACCGUGAGGGAAAGAUGAAAAGAACUUUGAAAAGAGAGUUAAACAGUACGUGAAAUUGUUGAAAGGGAAACGUUUGAAAUCAGUCGUGCGGGCGGGUAAUCAGCUUGGCCUUUGGGUCUUGUGCACUUACUCGUCUCGCAGGCCAGCGUCGGUUUUGUUUGCCGGAUAAAUGCCAAUGGAAUGUAGCUCAACCUUUUACGAGGAGGGGUGUUAUAGCCCUGGUAAAUACGGCGGUCGAGACCGAGGUCUGCAGUUGAUGCCUCUCGGGGCUGGGGACUCCAUCGCUCAUUCGCACCCGCGCCUAGACAGCUUGCUGACUAGGUGUGUGGUCUGUGGGUGACACGGUGGGCUACCACACAUCGACUUGGGUCGCUGGCGUAAUGGUUUUAAAUGACCCGUCUUGAAACACGGACCAAGGAGUCUAACAUAUAUGCGAGUGUUUGGGUGGCAAACUCAUGCGCGUAAUGAAAGUGAAUGUAGGUGA